RNAcentral lists this long non-coding RNA (809 nucleotides) under Monodelphis domestica (gray short-tailed opossum). RNAcentral's name for it is "lncRNA (ENSMODG00000049470.1)". Lineage: Eukaryota; Metazoa; Chordata; Mammalia; Didelphimorphia; Didelphidae. The record is from RNAcentral.
GUUCCAGAGCCAGGAUUUUAAUUCAGGACUUGGGGACUUUUCCACUAUUCCACCAUGAUGGAAUUUAUAUAGACCAAGUUUGAUCUAUUUGUUUCAGCACAUGUCCACACAUCAAAACUCAUGGCAAAUGUUCUUCAAUUUCUGCUUAUAAUUUCUUCUUCUUCUUCUUCUUCUUCUUCUUCUUCUUCUUCUUCUUCUUCUUCUUCUUCUUCUUCUUCUUCUUCUUCUUCUUCUUCUUCUUCUUCUUCUUCUUCUUCUUCUUCUUCUUCUUCGUCCUAAGCAAAUUUAUCUUCUUCUUCUUCUUCUUCUUCUUCUUCUUCUUCUUCUUCUUCUUCUUCUUCUUCUUCUUCUUCUUCUUCUUCUUCUUCUUCUCCUCCUCCUCCUCCUUCUUCUCUUUCUUCUCCUUCUUCUUCUUCUUUUUACCUUCCAUCUUAGAGUCAAUACUGUGUAUUGAUUCCAAAGAAGAAGAGUGAUAAAAGCUAGGUAAUGGGAGUUAAGUGACUUUCCCAGGGUCACAUAGUUUGAGAAGUAUCUGAGGUCAAAUUUGAACUCAGGAUCUCCUGUCUCUAGGCUUGGCUCUUUAUUCACUAAACCACUUUGCUGCUCCUCAUUGCUUCUUAUAUGAUGAAACUGCUUGAGGAAGAGUAGUCUGGAGGGUGCCAAGAUGAAUAAGGUAGGUUACACCCAAAACUGUGAAUGUAGCCAAUGCAAAUUCUGAGGGCUAGAUAGAACUGUUGCCUGUCUGAAACCAUUUGGAAAUGAUUUUGCAGGAUGAUGGAAUCUUUUUUUGAAAGUAGCCCAUAACUGUA